ACGUAGGGUGCAAGCGUUGUCCGGAAUUAUUGGGCGUAAAGAGCUCGUAGGCGGUCUGUCACGUCGGCUGUGAAAUCCCGAGGCUCAACCUCGGGUCUGCAGUCGAUACGGGCAAACUAGAGUAUUGCAGGGGAGACUGGAAUUCCUGGUGUAGCGGUGAAAUGCGCAGAUAUCAGGAGGAACACCGGUGGCGAAGGCGGCAUCCUGGACCAACACUGACGCUGAGGAGCGAAAGCCAGGGGAGCAAACGGGA
RNAcentral lists this ribosomal RNA (253 nucleotides) under uncultured prokaryote. RNAcentral describes it as "partial 16S ribosomal RNA". It matches the Rfam family "Bacterial small subunit ribosomal RNA", at positions 525 to 777 of the family's 1533-position model. The record is from RNAcentral.